GAUGAAGAACGUAGUGAAAUGCGAUACGUAAUGUGAAUUGCAGAAUUCAGUGAAUCAUCGAAUCUUUGAACGCACAUUGCGCCCCUUGGUAUUCCAUGGGGCAUGCCUGUUCGAGCGUCAUUUGUACCUUCAAGCUCUGCUUGGUGUUGGGUGUUUGUCUCGCCUCUGCGUGUAGACUCGCCUCAAAAUAAUUGGCAGCCGGCGUAUUGAUUUCGGAGCGCAGUACAUCUCGCGCUUUGCACUCAUAACGACGACGUCCAAAAGUACAUUUUUACACUCUUGACCUCGGAUCAGGUAGGGAUACCCGCUGAACUUAAGCAUAUCAAUAAGCGGAGGA
RNAcentral lists this unclassified non-coding RNA (337 nucleotides) under soil metagenome. RNAcentral's name for it is "partial contains 5.8S ribosomal RNA, internal transcribed spacer 2, and large subunit ribosomal RNA". The stretch from base 1 to 120 matches the Rfam family "5.8S ribosomal RNA", at positions 35 to 154 of the family's 154-position model. The record is from RNAcentral.